GACGAACGCUGGAGGCGUGCUUAACACAUGCAAGUCGAACGAUGAAAUGGAGCUUGCUCCAUGGAUUAGUGGCGAACGGGUGAGUAACACGUGAAUAACCUGCCCUUAAUUUUGGAAUAACCCAGGGAAACCUGGGCUAAUACCGGAUAAGUAAACCUGUGGCAUCACAGGGUUUUGGAAAGUUUUUCGAUUAAGGAUGGAUUCGCGGCCUAUCAGCUUGUUGGUGAGGUAAUGGCACACCAAGGCGACGACGGGUAGCCGGCCUGAGAGGGUGAACGGCCACACUGGGACUGAGACACGGCCCAGACUCCUACGGGAGGCAGCAGUGGGGAAUAUUGCGCAAUGGACGAAAGUCUGACGCAGCGACGCCUCGUGAGGGACGAAGGUCUUCGGAUUGUAAACCUCUUUCAGCAGGGACGAAGCGAAAGUGACGGUACCUGCAGAAGAAGCACCGGCUAACUAUGUGCCAGCCGCCGCAGUAA
This 482-nucleotide ribosomal RNA is filed under the name uncultured bacterium. RNAcentral describes it as "partial 16S ribosomal RNA". It matches the Rfam family "Bacterial small subunit ribosomal RNA", at positions 28 to 523 of the family's 1533-position model. The record is from RNAcentral.